CCGCAGGUUCGAGUUGAGCGCAGCGAAACAACGGAGCCGCUCGCGGCGACGGCCCGAAGGGCGAGCGAAGCGAGUCAUCCUGCACGACCCACCA
RNAcentral lists this small RNA (94 nucleotides) under Escherichia coli. RNAcentral describes it as "partial RtT sRNA". It matches the Rfam family "RtT RNA", at positions 36 to 130 of the family's 130-position model. From Rfam's summary of the family: This family represents a bacterial cis-regulatory element known as RtT RNA. The exact function of RtT is unknown although it is thought that it may be involved in changing the cellular response in relation to amino acid starvation. The record is from RNAcentral. Lineage: Bacteria; Pseudomonadati; Pseudomonadota; Gammaproteobacteria; Enterobacterales; Enterobacteriaceae.